Molecule: transfer RNA, 69 nt
Filed under: Ictidomys tridecemlineatus (thirteen-lined ground squirrel)
Lineage: Eukaryota; Metazoa; Chordata; Mammalia; Rodentia; Sciuridae
Description: Spermophilus tridecemlineatus (thirteen-lined ground squirrel) tRNA
Rfam family: tRNA
About the family: Transfer RNA (tRNA) molecules are approximately 80 nucleotides in length.
Source: Rfam by way of RNAcentral
GGGGUUGUGGCUCAGUGGUAGAGCGUUUGCCUAGCACAUGCAAGGCUCCAAGUUCAAUCUUCAACACCA